CCCUUAGAGUUUGAUCCUGGCUCAGGAUGAACGCUGGCGGCGUGCUUAACACAUGCAAGUCGAACGAAGCACUUUAUUUGAUUUCCUUCGGGACUGAUUAUUUUGUGACUGAGUGGCGGACGGGUGAGUAACGCGUGGGUAACCUGCCUUGUACAGGGGGAUAACAGUUGGAAACGGCUGCUAAUACCGCAUAAGCGCACGGCAUCGCAUGAUGCAGUGUGAAAAACUCCGGUGGUAUAAGAUGGACCCGCGUUGGAUUAGCUAGUUGGUGAGGUAACGGCCCACCAAGGCGACGAUCCAUAGCCGACCUGAGAGGGUGACCGGCCACAUUGGGACUGAGACACGGCCCAAACUCCUACGGGAGGCAGCAGUGGGGAAUAUUGCACAAUGGGCGAAAGCCUGAUGCAGCGACGCCGCGUGAGCGAAGAAGUAUUUCGGUAUGUAAAGCUCUAUCAG
This 456-nucleotide ribosomal RNA is filed under the name uncultured bacterium. RNAcentral describes it as "bacterial SSU rRNA". It matches the Rfam family "Bacterial small subunit ribosomal RNA", at positions 1 to 439 of the family's 1533-position model. The record is from RNAcentral.